Molecule: ribosomal RNA, 253 nt
Filed under: uncultured bacterium
Lineage: Bacteria
Description: partial 16S ribosomal RNA
Rfam family: Bacterial small subunit ribosomal RNA
Source: RNAcentral
UACGUAGGGUGCGAGCGUUAAUCGGAAUUACUGGGCGUAAAGCGUGCGCAGGCGGUUUUGUAAGCCAGAUGUGAAAUCCCCGGGCUUAACCUGGGAAUGGCAUUUGGGACUGCAAGGCUGGAGUGUGGCAGAGGAGACUGGAAUUCCUGGUGUAGCAGUGAAAUGCGUAGAUAUCAGGAGGAACACCAAUUGCGAAGGCAGCUCGCUGGGACGCUACUGACGCUGAGACGCGAAAGCGUGGGGAGCAAACAGG